This 253-nucleotide ribosomal RNA is filed under the name uncultured bacterium. Its description in RNAcentral is "partial 16S ribosomal RNA". It matches the Rfam family "Bacterial small subunit ribosomal RNA", at positions 524 to 776 of the family's 1533-position model. The record is from RNAcentral.
UACGGAGGGAGCUAGCGUUGUUCGGAAUUACUGGGCGUAAAGCGCACGUAGGCGGCUUAGCAAGUCGGAAGUGAAAUCCCUCGGCUCAACCAAGGAAGUGCUUUCGAAACUGCUGAGCUUGAGUACGAAAGAGGAUCGCGGAAUUCCCGGUGUAGAGGUGAAAUUCGUAGAUAUCGGGAGGAACACCAGUGGCGAAGGCGGCGAUCUGGGUCGAUACUGACGCUGAGGUGCGAAAGCGUGGGGAGCAAACAGG